GCCGGGCAUGGUGGCACAUGCCUGUAAUCCCAACUACUUGGGAGGCUGAGGCAGGAGAAUCACUUGAACCUGGGAGGCAGAGGUUGCAGUGAGCUGAGAUUGUGCCACUGCACUCAAGCCUGGGUGACAGAGUGAGACUCUGUCUCAA
Molecule: non-coding RNA, 148 nt
Organism: Homo sapiens (human)
Lineage: Eukaryota; Metazoa; Chordata; Mammalia; Primates; Hominidae
Rfam family: Metazoan signal recognition particle RNA
About the family: The signal recognition particle (SRP) is a universally conserved ribonucleoprotein. It is involved in the co-translational targeting of proteins to membranes. The eukaryotic SRP consists of a 300-nucleotide 7S RNA and six proteins: SRPs 72, 68, 54, 19, 14, and 9.
Source: Rfam